RNAcentral lists this microRNA precursor (96 nucleotides) under Populus trichocarpa (black cottonwood). RNAcentral's name for it is "miR478d stem-loop (ptc-MIR478d)". Its record names the gene ptc-MIR478d. Lineage: Eukaryota; Viridiplantae; Streptophyta; Magnoliopsida; Malpighiales; Salicaceae. The record is from miRBase by way of RNAcentral.
AGCCUAAUCGACGUGUCUCCUACUUUUAGGGUUGGACGUUAACUUUUUUAUGAAUAGCCUAGUUGACAUGUCUUCUAUUUUUAGUAACCAAGAUUG